Magallana angulata is the source of this 1894-nucleotide long non-coding RNA. RefSeq lists it as uncharacterized. The record is from RefSeq and is a predicted model, not a curated record. The transcript is spliced from 2 exons. NCBI's taxonomy places the organism in Eukaryota, Metazoa, Mollusca, Bivalvia, Ostreida, Ostreidae.
UUGGGCAAUACAAUAGGAUAUUCGAAAGUGACUAGCUUUUCACAAAUGGCAUAUAUCUCCUUUGCUUUCAAAAAGGUAUAAUAGUGUCUAAACCGCUUGAUGUUGAAUCAUGAAGAUUGAAGAAUUUUUCGUAUGCUGUUCAGUGUUUGUUUGUACUUUUACUUUUGUUUCAAUGUUACGCUACGCGCGCGCUGAUUGGUCGAUCAAUAGCUAGCCGCCAAUUUUCACAUUCGAUGCUGCCAUGUUGUCUGCCAUCACCGAGAUGGUAAAAUGAAUGAAAAUAAAGGAAUAAGGCUGUGCACAAGGUAAAAGAAUGAUUAUCAAUGGAGUGUUUACUUUUGGAAUAUCCACGGCUAAACAGAGGACGAAUAUAAGUGAAUGAAUCGAGUCUCAACACCCAAGGCCACUGCAUGCACCAUCUCAUGCAUGAUCAUGAGGACAUCAUGAGCACGUUUUUGAAAAAGUGUCUGCCCUGGUGACCGGAUUACACAGACCUAAAGAAAACCUUGCAUGAACAACUAACUCACUGAUUUUAUGAUCAAAUUAUGCAAACAAAAAAGAGUGAAAACAGAAUUUGUGUAAGACUUCGUAGAAAAGCAUAUAAAGAACAGUGCUGAAGACUGACCAUUCCAUUGUGGACAUUAUUGUGAUAUUCGGCUAUUUGUUUGAUAUUGUUUAUGUGUGAAAUUAAAUCGGAGAGCACAUACAGGAGACUGUCAUAAAAAAGAAAUCAAGAAUGCCUUAACUGUAAUUAAUUGUAAUAUGACCAGUGACCUUGCAAGGCUUAAUUGAGAACUAUAUGGUUUGAACUUCGCUCAUUGUGAACUUUUGUCCAAGUCCAUCUGUGCACGCAUGUUGUGAUCAAACUGCAUUCAAGUUUAUCAAUCUGCAGCAACAAAUCAUCACUGAUUGGUUGAGUACUAUUAGUCAAAUUUCAUUAUGGUUUGUUCAUCAAUUUUGUGUUUAUUUUUGAAAUUUAUAUAAUGUGCAAAAUUCAAAGUUAAUAAUUUUUACGUGUGUCCUUUAUCUCAAACUUUGCUGCAACUGUUUAAGUUAAACAUCUUUGUUAUUAAAUAACUUCUACUGGUGAUUUAAUCACCAGUAGAAGUUAUUUGUAAAUUGAUUAAAAAGCAUAGUACAUGUAUGAGUAACUCAUUAUUAAAUAAUUAUAAGUGUUUAUUAAUUGUUUUUAUGUUGUAAUAUCUUAAAGUUGCUAUUUUUAUCUGUAAGCUUGCGGUAACUGUUUUUCGCAAAUUUGCAGCAAACUCUCUGCAAAUUUGACGUUGCAUUAAAAUUUUGUACAAAUUAACGUCAUUUUUUUAAUUAAUGGGCCUUAUUUUCUGCUUUAAGUUGUUAAAUAUAAAAUUAUCUGGAAUCAAUUUAAUUUCCUCCUAGGUAUAUCUAUUUUUUCCUUAUUUUUAUUGUUUAUAUGGUUACUUAUAUUUCUGUGCAUGUUUGAUUGUUUACAAUGUACAUAUAGUUGUAAGUCAUUACGUUUUUUGCCAUGCAUAUCCUGCAAAAUGUUUAAAAAUGCAAUGUUGAGGUAUGUUUUACAACUAAUAUUUUGGUUGUUGUGAAGGAAACGAGAGAAUUUCCUUUCAAGUGUAUAUAAAAAUGUGAAAUACGAUUUUUCUAUCCAUUAUUUUUUUUUCAGUAAAGCUUUAAAUUGCAAUUAUUACCAACAGAACUUCUAUAUACUGUAGCUUUUUUAAAGAACUUUCUUAUCUGGAAAAUUAAUUGCAAUGCUUAUGAUUGUUUGAAGUAAUUACUGUUUUCUCUCAAGUGCACAUUUGUUGUAAAUCCAAGCUAGUCAAAUUAGCAACCUUGUACACAUAACAUUUUGUUAGCCAGUUUAUUUAUAUAUGUGUUAUGGUAUUACAGAUUUAUUGAUUUA